This is a non-coding RNA of Dipodomys ordii (Ord's kangaroo rat), 423 nucleotides long. The record is from the annotation of a RefSeq genome assembly. NCBI's taxonomy places the organism in Eukaryota, Metazoa, Chordata, Mammalia, Rodentia, Heteromyidae.
CCAGCAUGGACAUGAAGGUCCCUGAUCAGCUUCUGGGGCUCCUGCGGCUCUUUCUUCCAGAUCACAUCCUACUGCCACAAUGACUUCAUAAUAAGCUGUUCACACCUGUGCAGCAGUCAGUCCCCGUCAGCACACAGCAUGGACAUGAGGACCAAUGCUCAGCUCCUGGGGCUCCUACUGCUCUGCUUCCCAGGUGCCAGAUGUGACAUCCAGAUGACCCAGUUUCCAUCCUCCCUGUCUGCAUCUCCAGGAGACACAAUCACCAUCUCCUGCAGAGCCAGUCAGGGUAUUAAACUGGUAUCAGCAGAAACCAGGGAAUUCCCCAAAGCUCCUGAUCUAUUACACGUCAAGCCUGGCCUCAGGGGUCCAAUGCAGGUUUAGUUGCAGUGGCUCUGGGACAGAUUAUUCUCUCACCAUCAGCAG